GGGGCUGUGGGUCAGUGGUAGAGCACUCGCCUAGCCUGUGCGUGCCCUGGGUUCGAUCCUCAGCACCACA
This 70-nucleotide transfer RNA is filed under the name Marmota monax (woodchuck). Its description in RNAcentral is "tRNA.Ala". The record is from RNAcentral. Lineage: Eukaryota; Metazoa; Chordata; Mammalia; Rodentia; Sciuridae.